Molecule: ribosomal RNA, 253 nt
Filed under: uncultured bacterium
Lineage: Bacteria
Description: partial 16S ribosomal RNA
Rfam family: Bacterial small subunit ribosomal RNA
Source: RNAcentral
UACAGGGGGUGCAAACGUUGCUCGGAAUCAUUGGGCGUAAAGCGCACGUAGGCGGUUCGUUAUGUCGGAUGUGAAAGCCCUUGGCUUAACCGAGGAAGUGCAUCCGAAACUGGCGAGCUAGAGUACUAAAGAGGAUCGCGGAAUUCCCGGUGUAGAGGUGAAAUUCGUAGAUAUCGGGAGGAACACCGGUGGCGAAGGCGGGUCUCUGGGCCGAAAUUGACGCUGAGGAGCGAAAGCGUGGGGAGCAAACAGG